AAGAAGGCAGAUGCCCGUAAAACGGGUGGUGGCCCAGCACCGCGACCUCUAACGGAGGCAGAGGAGCUGGCCCUAAGCCAGAAUUUAGGAAGGCCAGUGGCUGAGGGAAUCCCUGGAGGGAGAUCAUCCUCUGAGCCCACCCCCCAAGACACAAGUGCCUUUAUAAAAUAUUCUGAUGGUGCUAUCUGCCUGGUGGAGCCCCCUCAUGCCACAACAGACCUUGUAACUGAUGAAGAGGAUGAGGAAACUGUGUCUGCUGCCUUUACAGAGGGGGAUCCAGAAAGGCCUAUAGAG
This is a long non-coding RNA of Epinephelus moara (kelp grouper), 294 nucleotides long. RefSeq lists it as uncharacterized. NCBI's taxonomy places the organism in Eukaryota, Metazoa, Chordata, Actinopteri, Perciformes, Serranidae. The record is from RefSeq and is a predicted model, not a curated record. The transcript is spliced from 3 exons.